CCGUUCCCAUGCCGAACACGGAAGUUAAGCUCUUCAGCGCCGAUGGUAGUUGGGGGAUCUCCCCCUGUGAGAGUAGGACGUCGCCAGGC
This 89-nucleotide ribosomal RNA is filed under the name Rossellomorea aquimaris. Lineage: Bacteria; Bacillati; Bacillota; Bacilli; Caryophanales; Bacillaceae. RNAcentral also lists the same sequence under 3 other names. The record is from RNAcentral.